Molecule: long non-coding RNA, 411 nt
Filed under: Brassica napus (rape)
Lineage: Eukaryota; Viridiplantae; Streptophyta; Magnoliopsida; Brassicales; Brassicaceae
Description: long non-coding RNA (BNAP_LNC019128)
Source: RNAcentral
GAGGAGAGGUGUAUAGGGAUUCAUCGAUGAAGGGAGGAAAAAGAGAGUGAAGACUGCGUCUGGAGGGUCUGGAGGCUCAGGCGGCUCGCUUGGAGUUAGAGUCUCGAGCGGUACAGAAAGUUUACACGGGGGCGGAUCCGGCGGAGGCCUUGAACGCGGCUGAGGCGGAGGUUUCACCAUCGAGACCGGAAGAGGGGCACGAGCUUCUUCAGAGGGUGGUGGAUUGAACGUCGAAGCUGGAUCGGAGAAGAGCCAUACAGGGGCGGCGCCUAGGGAGGCGGGCUUGGGAGCGUUUUGUCUAGGUUUAGUUGGCUAAACUUGUAAAUGACUAAAUGUGAGAAAGUGUGUGGACAUAGGCACUCAGGUUAUCUUCGCUAAUGGAGGAGUACAUGUGAUUAUGUAUUCAUAUGU